Molecule: long non-coding RNA, 1053 nt
Organism: Mirounga angustirostris (Northern elephant seal)
Lineage: Eukaryota; Metazoa; Chordata; Mammalia; Carnivora; Phocidae
Exons: 3
Source: RefSeq, a predicted model, not a curated record
GCCUUGCUAAUAUUCACAUUUAUAGCCGCUUCAGCUUGGUUGAUAAUGCUGUUUCCUAAAAGAUGGUUCAUUUUAACAGUGCUUUUUAAGGAAGAAAUCCUAGUUUAAUAAUCUGAGAUUGUGUUUUUUUCUCACAGAACUCAUGUGCAUUUAGUUUGUAUCAUGAUCAGUGUAUCGAUUUGGUCCAUCCACAGCUUUCUUUGUUGGGCAACAGUCGUUGUAACGAACGUCAGAUAUGGCAUGAUAUUUCAAGGAAGUUUAACUUGAGCAAUUACUGAUUUCAUCCAGACUCCAGAGCCUCUGUUUGUCAAGAAGGAAGAACACGAGUGUCAUGGCAAUGCCGAUGACACGGGUCAUAUCCUGGUGGUCGUGGUAACUCUCCAUCUUCCCAGAGAGGCUGUGACUGAGUGGCACAGUUUGCAUUAUUGCAGGGGCCAGCGAACUACUUAGAAGGAAGCACUCUACUUUGAGUGAAGAUAUUUGAGGGCUUUCAAGUUGAAUGUGAAGCUGUGGCACCCAGUUCUGCAUCCAGGACACCGAAGUCCAUUUCCUUAAAAUGGACAUCACCUUCUACUUCCUCACCUGAUUUAAACAGGAUUUUAGAAGACCCGAUGACUGUGUUUCCACAAGCAAGAAGACUCUGAAGACAGCCAAGCCGCACCACUGCGUUUUAGAAGAUUCUACAAAAAGACAGCCUUCAUGACGAAGUACCAGAGGCAGAUACAAUGCUCAAGAGAAACUUUUGCGAAGAGGUGCCAUUUGAACAAAGACCUGGAUAAAGUGAGGAAGUGAACACUGCAAUGUUCUGGGAGAAGAGUGUUUCAGAAGGAACGACUGCUACAAAGUCCCCAAGGUAAGACCAAGAUCGGCAUAUUUAGAAGCAGCAAAGAUAGCCAGAGCAAAAUAAAUAAACACGAAAUUGGACGGGAAAUAGGGUGGAGAUACAAACAGUGGCUGGAUUAUGGAGGACCUUGAGGUCACACUUAGGUCAUUAGACUUCAUUCUGAAUGUCCUGGAGUACCACAGAAGUUUCAAGGCAGAGGAAGUGACAUU